This 329-nucleotide ribosomal RNA is filed under the name uncultured eukaryote. Its description in RNAcentral is "partial 18S ribosomal RNA". It matches the Rfam family "Eukaryotic small subunit ribosomal RNA", at positions 1470 to 1796 of the family's 1831-position model. The record is from RNAcentral.
CCCUUAGAUGUCCUGGGCCGCACGCGCGUUACACUGAUGCAUUCAACGAGCUUAUAACCUUGGCCGAGAGGCCUGGGCAAUCUUGUUAACGUGCAUCGUGAUAGGGAUAGAUUAUUGAAAUUAUUAAUCUUGAACGAGGAAUUCCUAGUAAACGCAGAUCAUCAAUCUGCAUUGAUUACGUCCCUGCCCUUUGUACACACCGCCCGUCGCACCUACCGAUUGAAUGGUCCGGUGAAAUCUUCGGAUUGAGACUUUGAUUUCUUCACGGAAAACGCUGUUUUAAGAAGUUGAUUAAACCUUACCAUUUAGAGGAAGGUGAAGUCGUAACA